ACACUCCUGCGGGAGGCAGCAGUGGGGAAUAUUGGACAAUGGGCGCAAGCCUGAUCCAGCCAUGCCGCGUGAGUGAUGAAGGCCCUAGGGUUGUAAAGCUCUUUCACCGGUGAAGAUAAUGACGGUAACCGGAGAAGAAGCCCCGGCUAACUUCGUGCCAGCAGCCGCGGUAACACGAAGGGGGCUAGCGUUGUUCGGAUUUACUGGGCGUAAAGCGCACGUAGGCGGACUAUUAAGUCAGGGGUGAAAUCCCGGGGCUCAACCCCGGAACUGCCUUUGAUACUGGUAGUCUUGAGUUCGAGAGAGGUGAGUGGAAUUCCGAGUGUAGAGGUGAAAUUCGUAGAUAUUCGGAGGAACACCAGUGGCGAAGGCGACUCACUGGCUCGAUACUGACGCUGAGGUGCGAAAGCGUGGGGAGCAAACAGGAUUAGAUACCCCAGUAGUCCCAUGA
RNAcentral lists this ribosomal RNA (451 nucleotides) under uncultured organism. RNAcentral's name for it is "partial 16S ribosomal RNA". It matches the Rfam family "Bacterial small subunit ribosomal RNA", at positions 333 to 800 of the family's 1533-position model. The record is from RNAcentral.